UUGGGAAUCAUUGUGUUGCCAGUGAUGGAUUAUGUCGCGUGUUUUGUAAUACACGCAGUACUGUAAAGUGAAACGAGGUCAUUCUGUUGUGUACUUUGGACAAAGGAAGAGAAAGAUGAAGUCCCUUAGAAAAGGAAAAUGAGACUGAUGGGAUUUCGUUUUAAAGGAAGAAGAGUCUGAAGCUAACGUGUAUACCUACGAGAGUUCUGACGAAUCACCAAAGAAAAAAAUUAACUCAAAGUUCUGGUGGCCUGGGUGCAGUGAAUUCGAAAUAUCAACAGCGAUCCUCAAAUACAGAAUUUGAAAGAAAAAGACUUUAUUAUCUAUGAGUACCCAAAUAAUCUUUAAGCAAUCCAUGGAUAUUGAAUGCAGACCAGACAGUCAGGAGAAUUUACCGUAAAUAGAAAAUUAGCAAAAGUGAAAGCAACAAACGUUUGUUUCGAUUGGUGUGAUAUAUUUUGGACAGGAGUAGCAGACUGUGGUGCGUUGAUUCCAAAAUGACACAUAUUAGUACAAAGAUUCAUUGCAAUUAAGAAAAUUUCUGAUUUUGUGUAUUUUCAACUUUUUAUUUCUUUAUAAACUUUA
Mytilus trossulus (common blue mussel) is the source of this 585-nucleotide long non-coding RNA. RefSeq lists it as uncharacterized. The record is from RefSeq and is a predicted model, not a curated record. Lineage: Eukaryota; Metazoa; Mollusca; Bivalvia; Mytilida; Mytilidae. The transcript has 3 exons.